RNAcentral lists this ribosomal RNA (2679 nucleotides) under Vibrio cholerae. Its description in RNAcentral is "partial 23S ribosomal RNA". It matches the Rfam family "Bacterial large subunit ribosomal RNA". Lineage: Bacteria; Pseudomonadati; Pseudomonadota; Gammaproteobacteria; Vibrionales; Vibrionaceae. The record is from RNAcentral.
UAAGCGCAGAUAAGGCAGUAAGAGCCGUUUGAGUCUGCGAUUUCCGAAUGGGGAAACCCAACUGCAUAAGCAGUUACUGUUAACUGAAUACAUAGGUUAACAGAGCAAACCGGGGGAACUGAAACAUCUAAGUACCCCGAGGAGAAGAAAUCAACCGAGAUUCCGGUAGUAGCGGCGAGCGAACCUGGAUUAGCCCUUAAGCACUCGGUGAAGUAGGUGAACAAGCUGGAAAGCUUGGCGAUACAGGGUGAUAGCCCCGUAACCGACGCUUCAUCGAGCGUGAAAUCGAGUAGGGCGGGACACGUGAUAUCCUGUCUGAAUAUGGGGGGACCAUCCUCCAAGGCUAAAUACUCCUGACUGACCGAUAGUGAACCAGUACCGUGAGGGAAAGGCGAAAAGAACCCCUGUGAGGGGAGUGAAAUAGAACCUGAAACCGUGUACGUACAAGCAGUAGGAGCACCUUCGUGGUGUGACUGCGUACCUUUUGUAUAAUGGGUCAGCGACUUAUAUUCAGUGGCAAGGUUAACCGUAUAGGGGAGCCGUAGCGAAAGCGAGUCUUAACUGGGCGCUCAGUCUCUGGAUAUAGACCCGAAACCGGGUGAUCUAGCCAUGGGCAGGUUGAAGGUUGAGUAACAUCAACUGGAGGACCGAACCGACUAAUGUUGAAAAAUUAGCGGAUGACUUGUGGCUAGGGGUGAAAGGCCAAUCAAACUCGGAGAUAGCUGGUUCUCCCCGAAAGCUAUUUAGGUAGCGCCUCGGACGAAUACUACUGGGGGUAGAGCACUGUUAAGGCUAGGGGGUCAUCCCGACUUACCAACCCUUUGCAAACUCCGAAUACCAGUAAGUACUAUCCGGGAGACACACGGCGGGUGCUAACGUCCGUCGUGGAGAGGGAAACAACCCAGACCGCCAGCUAAGGUCCCAAAGUAUUGCUAAGUGGGAAACGAUGUGGGAAGGCUCAGACAGCUAGGAUGUUGGCUUAGAAGCAGCCAUCAUUUAAAGAAAGCGUAAUAGCUCACUAGUCGAGUCGGCCUGCGCGGAAGAUGUAACGGGGCUAAGCAAUACACCGAAGCUGCGGCAAUAUCUUUUAGAUAUUGGGUAGGGGAGCGUUCUGUAAGCCGUUGAAGGUGAAUCGUAAGGUUUGCUGGAGGUAUCAGAAGUGCGAAUGCUGACAUGAGUAACGACAAAGGGGGUGAAAAACCUCCUCGCCGGAAGACCAAGGGUUCCUGUCCAACGUUAAUCGGGGCAGGGUGAGUCGACCCCUAAGGUGAGGCCGAAAGGCGUAAUCGAUGGGAAACGGGUUAAUAUUCCCGUACUUCUGACUAUUGCGAUGGGGGGACGGAGAAGGCUAGGUGGGCCAGGCGACGGUUGUCCUGGUUCAAGUGCGUAGGCUUGAGAGUUAGGUAAAUCCGGCUCUCUCUAAGGCUGAGACACGACGUCGAGCUGCUACGGCAGUGAAGUUAUUGAUGCCAUGCUUCCAGGAAAAGCCUCUAAGCUUCAGAUAGUCAGGAAUCGUACCCCAAACCGACACAGGUGGUCGGGUAGAGAAUACCAAGGCGCUUGAGAGAACUCGGGUGAAGGAACUAGGCAAAAUGGUACCGUAACUUCGGGAGAAGGUACGCUCUUGAUGGUGAAGUCCCUCGCGGAUGGAGCUGACGAGAGUCGCAGAUACCAGGUGGCUGCAACUGUUUAUUAAAAACACAGCACUGUGCAAAAUCGCAAGAUGACGUAUACGGUGUGACGCCUGCCCGGUGCCGGAAGGUUAAUUGAUGGGGUUAGCGCAAGCGAAGCUCUUGAUCGAAGCCCCGGUAAACGGCGGCCGUAACUAUAACGGUCCUAAGGUAGCGAAAUUCCUUGUCGGGUAAGUUCCGACCUGCACGAAUGGCGUAAUGAUGGCCACGCUGUCUCCACCCGAGACUCAGUGAAAUUGAAAUCGCUGUGAAGAUGCAGUGUACCCGCGGCUAGACGGAAAGACCCCGUGAACCUUUACUACAGCUUGGCACUGAACAUUGAACCUACAUGUGUAGGAUAGGUGGGAGGCUAUGAAGACGUGACGCCAGUUGCGUUGGAGCCGUCCUUGAAAUACCACCCUUGUAUGUUUGAUGUUCUAACUUAGACCCAUUAUCUGGGUUGAGGACAGUGCCUGGUGGGUAGUUUGACUGGGGCGGUCUCCUCCCAAAGAGUAACGGAGGAGCACGAAGGUGGGCUAAUCACGGUUGGACAUCGUGAGGUUAGUGCAAUGGCAUAAGCCCGCUUAACUGCGAGAAUGACGGUUCGAGCAGGUGCGAAAGCAGGUCAUAGUGAUCCGGUGGUUCUGUAUGGAAGGGCCAUCGCUCAACGGAUAAAAGGUACUCCGGGGAUAACAGGCUGAUACCGCCCAAGAGUUCAUAUCGACGGCGGUGUUUGGCACCUCGAUGUCGGCUCAUCACAUCCUGGGGCUGAAGUCGGUCCCAAGGGUAUGGCUGUUCGCCAUUUAAAGUGGUACGCGAGCUGGGUUUAGAACGUCGUGAGACAGUUCGGUCCCUAUCUGCCGUGGGCGUUGGAAGAUUGAAGGGGGCUGCUCCUAGUACGAGAGGACCGGAGUGGACGAACCUCUGGUGUUCGGGUUGUGUCGCCAGACGCAUUGCCCGGUAGCUAAGUUCGGAAUUGAUAAGCGCUGAAAGCAUCUAAGCGCGAAGC